CAGGGAACUAGUCAUCAAUAACUCAUUUUGCUUAUUUUAGUUCAAAGAAAAUUUUAGGAAUUUCACAUGAGCUUUUAUUUAUGCAGCACUUUGCCAAUGAACUCAUAUGGUAGUCGCUUUGUGCUUCCUGGAGGAUGAGCUGGUUUUAAUUCAGCAAAGUGAAUGGAAACAUCCAGAUGUUCCCUCUAUGAACAUUGAAGCAGAAAGGAGUUUUGCAAAGUAACUUUUCCAAAAACAGAUUGUAAUUUCCAGAAACAAUUGUUAGAACUCCAGCCAAUGACUGAAAACUUUUCCUCCAGAUGAUAUGAAAGUAUCAAUUGCUGCAUGGAUUUUUGAUCUUUAAGGAUUCCGCCCUGGACAACACACUGCAUUUGGUUGUCAUAUUCCCUUGGUUCUUCUGGAAUUCACCACAGAGCCUACAGAUGCUCCUGGACUUACAAUGGGAUGGUGCGCUGCUUAAAGCCGUCAUAAAUUGAAAAUGACCAAGUGGGUAAUGCAGGCAAUCCACCCAACCUCCCUGUCCCCGCAGUCAGCAGUGCAGCACACGGCAGAGGCGGCAGUCCGGUCCCCCCAAGGCCACAGAGUGGACUGGAAGCCGUGACCACUGCCAAUGCCAGCAGCCAAGAGAGGAUCUGACAGCACAGCACCAGCAGGAGAAAGAUCAAGUUCAACAUUGGAAGUUUGAUUUCUAUCUAUCACAUCACUAUUACACCAUUGUAAAGCCCCCAAAUCCAAUGUUGAUACAUUCUAAGUCAGGGACCAUCUGCACCCCAAAGAAAGUGAAACCAAGAAAGAGCACCUAAUGGCUAAUAACGUGGGCUCCAGCGAUGGGGGCAGAAGACUCCAGCUGACGGCUCCUGCAUUCAGUCCAGGGAAAGCCCACUCACAUUUAGAACCGUUAAGGACCCUGCAGAGGGAGAAGUUCAUGCAGUGGUGUGGCCCAGGAGCAGAUACAUGUUAAGACCUAGAGAAAUUACAUUAUUCCUUUUUCAACAGGAAGGAUUUUUAAAAAUCCCUUAAAAGCAUGAAAAAAUAAAAGAAUUUAAAAUGGAUGGCUUAAGGGUGACGCAUGUGCUGUGCAACGACUUUCAGCAUUUAAUAACAGAAAGGGGCUUCGCUGGACUCUGAUGUGAGCCACCUUGCCUUUGGUACUACGAGUUCAGCUGCCUUAGGUAUGGAGAGAAGGAAACACCUCCCUGGCACACCGUCUGGCUCUGCCUGGGACAACAUUAACAGGCCCACAAAGGCUGCUCUGAGUUUCCUUUUAGGAUCGUCUAGAGGCGUGCAAAACUUAAUUCCAUUUUUAGAAAGAAAAGUAAAAUAGUAUCAGCUUUAAUACUGAAGUCCUGAUGAUCAGAAGUUACUCGGUGAGCAAGGGUAAGGAAAAAGGGGAGAAUACGAUGAGGCAGCUUUUAUGAGGGCAAGUGAGUGAUCACAGUGUUUUCAACUUUGCAGUAAAGAUAUAAAUGGAUUACACACCAUGCUUACAAUAUUACAGCAUUCUGAAUUUAUCUGUAUAGUUGCUCUUACCAGUGAUUAUCUAUCUUCUGAUAUUCUAUCUCUUUUUAAAAAGAUUUAUUUAUUUGAAAGGCAGAGUUACAGAGAGGCAAAGGCAGAGAGAAAUAGAGAGAGAGAGAGGGAGAGAGAGAGGGAGAGAGAGAGAGAGAGGUCUUCUAUCCACUUGUUCACUCCCCAAAUGGCUGUAACUGCCGGAGCCAGGAGCUUCUUCUGGGUCUCCCAUGUGGGUGCAGGGGUCCAAGGACUUGGACCAUCUUCCACUUCUUUCCCAGGCCAUAGCAGAGAGCUGGAUCGAAAGUGGAGCAGCCGGGACUUGAACUCGUGCCCGUACGGGAUGUCGGCACUGCAGCCAUUAUGCCCCAGCGCUGGUAGACUUGAUUUGAAUAUGACCUUUAACCUUCCUGUACCUGAAUAGUUGUAUCUUUCUCUAGGUUUGGGGAAUUUUUGGUCUUUAGAUAUGCUUUGACAUUCUUAAGUUCCUUUUGAAUCCCAAUAACCCAAAUAUUUGCUCUUUUUAUACUAUCCCAUAUUUCUCAUAUGCUUUCUUCAUUCUUGUUGAUUCUUAUUUAUUUUUUAAAGAUUUAUGUUAUUUAUUUAAAAGAGAAGUAGGUUCUCUUCAACCUCACUGAUGCUUCCUUCUGUGUGCUGUAUUCUACUACUGAUACCUUCUUUCACAUUUUAAAUUUCACUUACUGCAUUUUCAGUUGAAAGAUUUCUGCUGGAUUUUGUUUAAUUACUUCCAUCUCCAUCAAACUCUCUUAGAAUAUGGAUGAUUUCUCCAUGUUCUCUUAAAUUUCAUUGAGCUUCCUUAAAGCAGGUUUUUUUUUUGUUUUUUGUUUUUUUUUUUUUUUUUGACAGGCAGAGUGGACAGUGAGAGAGACAGAGAGAAAGGUCUUCCUUUGCCGUUGGUUCACCCUCCAAUGGCCGCUGUGGCCGGCGCACCGUGCUGAACCGAUGGCAGGAGCCAGGUGCUUCUCCUGGUCUCCCAUGGGGUGCAGGGCCCCAGCACUUGGGCCAUCCUCCACUGCACUCCCGGGCCAAAGCAGAGAGCUGGCCUGGAAGAGGGGCAACCGGGACAGAAUCCGGCGCCCUGACCGGAACUAGAACCCGGUAUGCCGGCGCCGCAAGGCGGAGGAUUAGCCUAGUGAGCCGCGGUGCCGGCUCAGGUAUUUUUCUACCUUCAUCUGAGCAGGUGGAAAUUCCAGUUCCUAGAUUAUUGCUUUCUGGGACCCUAUUUUACUCUCAGGUGAGGCCGUGGUUCCCUGGAAGUUCUGGGUGCUUCUUGGUGCACAGCGUUGUCUGUGCAUUGAAGGAUUAGCGAUGGUAAACUGGGUUUAUUUAUGGCUGCCUUUCUAGAAAUUGUUCAUUUUCCCUUAGCCUAUGGAUACUUCUACUGCAGCCCCAAAUAGCAUCCUAACUCAUGGUUUUCUCUAGGCCUUAUGUUGAUGUUUUUACUGGUUUCUUUUUCUCUUCCUUUCUUUUCCUCCUCUCCUCUCCUCUCCUCUCCUCUCCUCUCCUCUCCUCUCCUCUCCUCUCCUCUCCUCUCCUCUCCUCUCC
Non-coding RNA from Oryctolagus cuniculus (rabbit), 3075 nucleotides. The record is from RefSeq and is a predicted model, not a curated record. NCBI's taxonomy places the organism in Eukaryota, Metazoa, Chordata, Mammalia, Lagomorpha, Leporidae.